AGUGAACGCUGGCGGUAGGCCUAACACAUGCAAGUCGAACGGCAGCACAGUAAGAGCUUGCUCUUACGGGUGGCGAGUGGCGGACGGGUGAGGAAUACAUCGGAAUCUACUUUUUCGUGGGGGAUAACGUAGGGAAACUUACGCUAAUACCGCAUACGACCUACGGGUGAAAGCAGGGGAUCUUCGGACCUUGCGCGAUUGAAUGAGCCGAUGUCGGAUUAGCUAGUUGGCGGGGUAAAGGCCCACCAAGGCGACGAUCCGUAGCUGGUCUGAGAGGAUGAUCAGCCACACUGGAACUGAGACACGGUCCAGACUCCUACGGGAGGCGGCAGUGGGGAAUAUUGGACAAUGGGCGCAAGCCUGAUCCAGCCAUGCCGCGUGGGUGAAGAAGGCCUCCGGGUUGUAAAGCCCUUUUGUUGGGAAAGAAAAGCAGCAGGUUAAUACCCCGCUGUUCUGACGGUACCCAAAGAAUAAGCACCGGCUAACUUCGUG
Molecule: ribosomal RNA, 492 nt
Filed under: uncultured bacterium
Lineage: Bacteria
Description: partial 16S ribosomal RNA
Rfam family: Bacterial small subunit ribosomal RNA
Source: RNAcentral